CGGGACGUGGCUCAGCUUGGUAGAGCACCUGGUUUGGGACCAGGGGGUCGCAGGUUCAAAUCCUGUCGUCCCGACCA
RNAcentral lists this transfer RNA (77 nucleotides) under Thermoactinomyces daqus. Its description in RNAcentral is "tRNA-Pro". It matches the Rfam family "tRNA". From Rfam's summary of the family: Transfer RNA (tRNA) molecules are approximately 80 nucleotides in length. Their secondary structure includes four short double-helical elements and three loops (D, anti-codon, and T loops). The record is from RNAcentral. RNAcentral also lists the same sequence under 3 other names. Lineage: Bacteria; Bacillati; Bacillota; Bacilli; Caryophanales; Thermoactinomycetaceae.